GCAGCAGGCUUUGUCAUGGGAAAGAAGAGUCUUGGCAAGAGAAAAGUUUCUGACAUAUCUGAAGAUAACAUCUGGGAGAUAACUACGAAAUUUGAGAGUGAGAUGGAUGCAUGGAUAAGUCUCUCUUCCUCAUUCUACACUCUAAUCUGAGUGAACGUGUAUGAACUAAAUUGCUGAUGAAUGCAAAUAACGUUGUUUC
Long non-coding RNA from Populus euphratica (Euphrates poplar), 199 nucleotides. RefSeq lists it as uncharacterized. The record is from RefSeq and is a predicted model, not a curated record. The transcript has 2 exons. NCBI's taxonomy places the organism in Eukaryota, Viridiplantae, Streptophyta, Magnoliopsida, Malpighiales, Salicaceae.